GAUGAACGCUGGCGGCGUGCCUAAUACAUGCAAGUCGAGCGAACAGACGAUGAGCUUGCUCCUCUGACGUGAGCCGCGGACGUGUGAGUAACACGUGUAUAACCUACCUAUAAUACGGGUAUAACUUCGGGAAACCGGAUCUAAUAGCGUAUAAUAUAUUGAACCGCAUGGUUCAUUAGUGAAAGACGGUUGUGCUGGCACUUAUCGCGGGAUCCGCGCCGCAUUAGCUAGUUGUUGAGUUAACGGCUUACCAAGGCAACGAUGCGUAACCGAGCUGAGAGGGUGAUAGGCCACCCUGGAACUGAGCCACGGUCCAGACUCCUAAGGGAGGCAGCAGUAGGGAAUCUUACGCAAUAGGCGAAAGUCUGACGGAGCAACGGCGAGUGAGUGAUGACGGUCUUCGGAUCGUAAAACCCUGUUAUUAGGGAAGAACAACUGUGUAAGUAACUAUGGACGUAUUGACGGUACCUAAUCAGAAAGCAACGGCUAACUACGUG
This 497-nucleotide ribosomal RNA is filed under the name uncultured bacterium. Its description in RNAcentral is "partial 16S ribosomal RNA". It matches the Rfam family "Bacterial small subunit ribosomal RNA", at positions 28 to 507 of the family's 1533-position model. The record is from RNAcentral.